Hordeum vulgare subsp. vulgare (domesticated barley) is the source of this 125-nucleotide non-coding RNA. NCBI's taxonomy places the organism in Eukaryota, Viridiplantae, Streptophyta, Magnoliopsida, Poales, Poaceae. The record is from Rfam.
CAACUAUUCCCUCCGUCCGAAAAUACUUGUCGUACGAAUGGAUAUAUCUAGAUGUAUAUUAGUUCUAUAUACAUCUAUUUUUAUUUAUUUUUGUGACAAAUAAUUCCGUACAGAGAAAGUAUAAC